CCUACGGGUGACAGCAGUGGGGAAUAUUGCACAAUGGGGGAAACCCUGAUGCAGCGACGCCGCGUGAGUGAAGAAGUAAUUCGUUAUGUAAAGCUCUAUCAGCAGGGAAGAAAAUGACGGUACCUGAGUAAGAAGCCCCGGCUAACUACGUGCCAGCAGCCGCGGGAAUACGUAGGGGGCAAGCGUUAUCCGGAUUUACUGGGUGUAAAGGGAGCGUAGACGGCAGUGCAAGUCUGGAGUGAAAGGCGGGGGCUCAACCCCCGGACUGCUCUGGAAACUGUACGGCUGGAGUGCCGGAGAGGUAGGCGGAAUUCCUAGUGUAGCGGUGAAAUGCGUAGAUAUUAGGAGGAACACCAGUGGCGAAGGCGGCCUACUGGACGGUGACUGACGCUGAGGCUCGAAAGCGUGGGGAGCAAACAGGAUUAGAUACCCCUGUAGUC
This 440-nucleotide ribosomal RNA is filed under the name uncultured bacterium. Its description in RNAcentral is "partial 16S ribosomal RNA". It matches the Rfam family "Bacterial small subunit ribosomal RNA", at positions 338 to 795 of the family's 1533-position model. The record is from RNAcentral.